UAUUCUGCCCCACGGGGAAGGAUGAGAAGCUUCGACUAAGGUUCGACUCGAGCGAAGCGAGAGAACGUUGCCGCAGGCAACGGCCCGAAGGGCGAGGCGCUUUAGCGCCGAGUAAUCCUUCCCCCACCACUA
RNAcentral lists this small RNA (132 nucleotides) under Klebsiella pneumoniae. Its description in RNAcentral is "RtT sRNA". It matches the Rfam family "RtT RNA". Rfam says of the family: This family represents a bacterial cis-regulatory element known as RtT RNA. The exact function of RtT is unknown although it is thought that it may be involved in changing the cellular response in relation to amino acid starvation. Lineage: Bacteria; Pseudomonadati; Pseudomonadota; Gammaproteobacteria; Enterobacterales; Enterobacteriaceae. The record is from RNAcentral.